RNAcentral lists this transfer RNA (62 nucleotides) under Glycinde armigera. RNAcentral's name for it is "tRNA-Lys". Lineage: Eukaryota; Metazoa; Annelida; Polychaeta; Phyllodocida; Goniadidae. The record is from RNAcentral.
CAUUAGAGAGCUGUAUUAGCAUUAGUCUUUUAAACUAAGGAAAAUAUUUAUAUUUCUAAUGA